AAUAGUUUAAUGCCAUAUCAGUAUUCUUAUCCUGAAUUUCAGGAUUUUAUCCUGAAAAAAAAUUAAAUCUAAAUUAAAAUCCUGAAAUUCAGGAUUUUAAUACGAAUAUGGCAUAAAAUUAUU
RNAcentral lists this microRNA precursor (123 nucleotides) under Gossypium arboreum. RNAcentral describes it as "MIR7504 microRNA precursor family". It matches the Rfam family "MIR7504 microRNA precursor family". Lineage: Eukaryota; Viridiplantae; Streptophyta; Magnoliopsida; Malvales; Malvaceae. The record is from Rfam by way of RNAcentral.